This 177-nucleotide ribosomal RNA is filed under the name Triticum aestivum (bread wheat). RNAcentral describes it as "partial small subunit ribosomal RNA". The record is from RNAcentral. Lineage: Eukaryota; Viridiplantae; Streptophyta; Magnoliopsida; Poales; Poaceae.
AUGAGUAUCAUCUGCUGGAACUGUCGAGGCCUGGGGUCGGACUCGACAGUUGGCGAGCUUCGCUGGCUUGUGAAGCUCUACCGACCCUCCCUCCUCUUUCUUUCUGAAACAAAGAUGAGGGAUUCGCGGGUGAAGAAUUUCAUGUGGUCAUUGGGUUUUUCUGGCUGUUAUGCUAUC